Cololabis saira (Pacific saury) is the source of this 132-nucleotide small nucleolar RNA. RefSeq annotates it as small nucleolar RNA SNORA68. The record is from RefSeq and is a predicted model, not a curated record. NCBI's taxonomy places the organism in Eukaryota, Metazoa, Chordata, Actinopteri, Beloniformes, Belonidae. The transcript has a single exon.
GGAGCAGCCAAACCCAAAGGUCUCUCCGGCGUCAGUGGGGAGAUCUUGUCUGGUUUGCCGACAGAAACCGGUCCUUGUCGCCUUUCCCCGGCUCCACCGUGCUGAUGAAAGUGAAUCCAAGGACCGACACGU